This 254-nucleotide ribosomal RNA is filed under the name uncultured bacterium. RNAcentral's name for it is "partial 16S ribosomal RNA". It matches the Rfam family "Bacterial small subunit ribosomal RNA", at positions 524 to 776 of the family's 1533-position model. The record is from RNAcentral.
UACGAAGGGGGCUAGCGUUGCUCGGAAUCACUGGGCGUAAAGCGCACGUAGGCGGCUUGUUAAGUCAGGGGUGAAAUCCUGGAGCUCAACUCCAGAACUGCCUUUGAUACUGGGAAGCUUCGAGUCCGGAAGAGGUGAGUGGAACUGCGAGUGUAGAGGUGAAAUUCGUAGAUAUUCGCAAGAACACCAGUGGCGAAGGCGGCUAUCUGGACAGAGUCUGACGCUGAGGCGCGAAAGCUAGGGGAGCAAACAGG